RNAcentral lists this ribosomal RNA (253 nucleotides) under uncultured bacterium. Its description in RNAcentral is "partial 16S ribosomal RNA". It matches the Rfam family "Bacterial small subunit ribosomal RNA", at positions 524 to 776 of the family's 1533-position model. The record is from RNAcentral.
UACGAAGGGUGCUAGCGUUGUUCGGAAUUACUGGGCGUAAAGGGUGCGUAGGUUGUUUGGCAAGUUAGUGGUGAAAGCCCAGAGCUUAACUCUGGAAUUGCCAUUAAAACUGCCAGGCUAGAGAGUGUUAGAGGUGAGUGGAAUUUCUAGUGUAGGAGUGAAAUCCGUAGAUAUUAGAAGGAACAUCAAUGGCGAAGGCAGCUCACUGGGUCACAUCUGACACUGGGGCACGAAAGCGUGGGUAGCAAACAGG